GGGUUGUGAGGUUAAGCGACUAAGCGUACACGGUGGAUGCCCUGGCAGUCAGAGGCGAUGAAGGACGUGCUAAUCUGCGAUAAGCGUCGGUGAGGUGAUAUGAACCGUUAUAACCGGCGAUUUCCGAAUGGGGAAACCCAGUGUGUUUCGACACACUAUCAUUAACUGAAUCCAUAGGUUAAUGAGGCGAACCGGGGGAACUGAAACAUCUAAGUACCCCGAGGAAAAGAAAUCAACCGAGAUUCCCCCAGUAGCGGCGAGCGAACGGGGAGGAGCCCAGAGCCUGAAUCAGUGUGUGUGUUAGUGGAAGCGUCUGGAAAGGCGCGCGAUACAGGGUGACAGCCCCGUACACAAAAAUGCACAUACUGUGAGCUCGAUGAGUAGGGCGGGACACGUGGUAUCCUGUCUGAAUAUGGGGGGACCAUCCUCCAAGGCUAAAUACUCCUGACUGACCGAUAGUGAACCAGUACCGUGAGGGAAAGGCGAAAAGAACCCCGGCGAGGGGAGUGAAAAAGAACCUGAAACCGUGUACGUACAAGCAGUGGGAGCCUCUUAAUGGGGUGACUGCGUACCUUUUGUAUAAUGGGUCAGCGACUUAUAUUCUGUAGCAAGGUUAACCGAAUAGGGGAGCCGAAGGGAAACCGAGUCUUAACUGGGCGUUAAGUUGCAGGGUAUAGACCCGAAACCCGGUGAUCUAGCCAUGGGCAGGUUGAAGGUUGGGUAACACUAACUGGAGGACCGAACCGACUAAUGUUGAAAAAUUAGCGGAUGACUUGUGGCUGGGGGUGAAAGGCCAAUCAAACCGGGAGAUAGCUGGUUCUCCCCGAAAGCUAUUUAGGUAGCGCCUCGUGAAUUCAUCUCCGGGGGUAGAGCACUGUUUCGGCAAGGGGGUCAUCCCGACUUACCAACCCGAUGCAAACUGCGAAUACCGGAGAAUGUUAUCACGGGAGACACACGGCGGGUGCUAACGUCCGUCGUGAAGAGGGAAACAACCCAGACCGCCAGCUAAGGUCCCAAAGUCAUGGUUAAGUGGGAAACGAUGUGGGAAGGCCCAGACAGCCAGGAUGUUGGCUUAGAAGCAGCCAUCAUUUAAAGAAAGCGUAAUAGCUCACUGGUCGAGUCGGCCUGCGCGGAAGAUGUAACGGGGCUAAACCAUGCACCGAAGCUGCGGCAGCGACACUAUGUGUUGUUGGGUAGGGGAGCGUUCUGUAAGCCUGUGAAGGUGUGCUGUGAGGCAUGCUGGAGGUAUCAGAAGUGCGAAUGCUGACAUAAGUAACGAUAAAGCGGGUGAAAAGCCCGCUCGCCGGAAGACCAAGGGUUCCUGUCCAACGUUAAUCGGGGCAGGGUGAGUCGACCCCUAAGGCGAGGCCGAAAGGCGUAGUCGAUGGGAAAC
Molecule: ribosomal RNA, 1393 nt
Filed under: Escherichia coli
Lineage: Bacteria; Pseudomonadati; Pseudomonadota; Gammaproteobacteria; Enterobacterales; Enterobacteriaceae
Description: partial 23S ribosomal RNA
Rfam family: Bacterial large subunit ribosomal RNA
Source: RNAcentral